Molecule: non-coding RNA, 584 nt
Filed under: Pseudomonas phage PAK_P3
Lineage: Duplodnaviria; Heunggongvirae; Uroviricota; Caudoviricetes; Vandenendeviridae
Source: RNAcentral
CUACCCCUGGUUUGGCCACCUUGAUUGGGGUGAUGCGGGGGUCCAGGUCGAAGUGGACAAUCUGGAGACGAUUCCUGCGACGAGCCCAGUUGUAGUUGUUCUUGGCAUCAGUCUGUGUUUCGAAGCUGGUCCACGACUGCGAUACCUUUUGACCCAGCAUGGUCUGAAUAGACGUUGCAGUGUCCGUGGGUGUCGCGGUGUACGUGGCAUAUACAAAGUUGCUUCCACCAUCCGUCGAGUAACCGAUCUUAUACUCGUGUCCAGCUUCAACAGCCGUGACCCUCCAGGCUACCCCUGAAGCCUGUUGAAGGUUCAUCAAUACCGGGGUAAUCACCCGGAACUGCCUCAAGGUGACGCUGGAGGAUACAGAGCCCACCGAGCUGACCACGAUGUUGUAGUUGCCCUCAAACACUACUUGAGCCCUGGUGGGCUCUUCAGCGUAUCGGAUGAUACCCGAUAGAGCAACUUCGUUAUCCAGAGCGUAGCCGGUUGCCACGUUGGGGUUGAAACUGUCAUGCACCUCUUGCAGGGCUUCCCACAGCUCAGCCACGCUUGGGGCUACUACGCCAAUCAUGCGGCCCAGG